AGGGGGGGGCGUCCUAUACAUGCAGUCGAGCGCAGGAAAUCAUCCGAACCCUUCGGGGGGACGUUGAUGGAAUGAGCGGCGGACGGGUGAGUAACACGUAAAGAACCUGCCCUCAGGUCUGGGAUAACCACGAGAAAUCGGGGCUAAUACCGGAUGGGUCAUCGGACCGCAUGGUCCGAGGAUGAAAGGCGCUUCGGCGUCGCCUGGGGAUGGCUUUGCGGUGCAUUAGCUAGUUGGUGGGGUAAUGGCCCACCAAGGCGACGAUGCAUAGCCGACCUGAGAGGGUGAUCGGCCACACUGGGACUGAGACACGGCCCAGACUCCUACGGGAGGCAGCAGUAGGGAAUCUUCCACAAUGGACGAAAGUCUGAUGGAGCAACGCCGCGUGAACGAUGAAGGCCUUCGGGUCGUAAAGUUCUGUUGUAAGGGAAGAACAAGUGCCGCAGGCAAUGGCGGCACCUUGACGGUACCUUGCGAGAAAGCCACGGCUAACUACGUGCCAGCAGCCGCGGUAAUACGUAGGUGGCAAGCGUUGUCCGGAAUUAUUGGGCGUAAAGCGCGCGCAGGCGGCCUCUUAAGUCUGAUGUGAAAGCCCCCGGCUCAACCGGGGAGGGCCAUUGGAAACUGGGAGGCUUGAGUAUAGGAGAGAAGAGUGGAAUUCCACGUGUAGCGGUGAAAUGCGUAGAGAUGUGGAGGAACACCCAGUGGCGAAGGCGACUCUUUGGCCUAUAACUGACGCUGAGGCCGCGAAAGCGUGGGGAGCAAACAGGAUUAGAUUACCCUGGUAAGUCCCA
This 794-nucleotide ribosomal RNA is filed under the name Exiguobacterium sp. A5(2016). Its description in RNAcentral is "bacterial SSU rRNA". It matches the Rfam family "Bacterial small subunit ribosomal RNA", at positions 38 to 797 of the family's 1533-position model. The record is from RNAcentral. Lineage: Bacteria; Bacillati; Bacillota; Bacilli; Caryophanales.